RNAcentral lists this ribosomal RNA (400 nucleotides) under uncultured bacterium. Its description in RNAcentral is "bacterial SSU rRNA". It matches the Rfam family "Bacterial small subunit ribosomal RNA", at positions 355 to 772 of the family's 1533-position model. The record is from RNAcentral.
UAAGGAAUUUUCGUCAAUGGGGGAAACCCUGAACGAGCAACGCCGCGUGGAGGAUGACGGUUUUCGGAUUGUAAACUCCUUUUGUAUGGGACGAUAAUGACGGUACCAUACGAAUAAGCCCCGGCUAACUCUGUGCCAGCAGCCGCGGUAAUACAGAGGGGGCAAGCGUUGUCCGGAGUUACUGGGCGUAAAGCGCACGCAGGCGGUUGUGCAAGUGGGAUGUGAAACCACCGUGCUUAACACGGUGACGCCAUGCCAAACUGCACGACUUGAGUGGUGGAGAGGUUGUUCGAAUUGCCGGUGUAGUGGUGAAAUGCGUAGAGAUCGGCAGGAAGACCAAGGGCGAAAGCAGACAACUGGCCACCAACUGACGCUCAGGUGCGAAAGCGUGGGGAGCGAA